UACGAAGGGUGCAAGCGUUACUCGGAAUUACUGGGCGUAAAGCGUGCGUAGGUGGUUUGUUAAGUCUGUUGUGAAAGCCCCGGGCUCAACCUGGGAAUGGCAAUGGAUACUGGCAAGCUAGAGUGCGGUAGAGGGUAGUGGAAUUCCCGGUGUAGCGGUGAAAUGCGUAGAGAUCGGGAGGAACACCAGUGGCGAAGGCAGCCCCCUGGGUCAAGAUUGACGCUCAUGCGACGAAAGCGUGGGGAGCAAACAGG
RNAcentral lists this ribosomal RNA (254 nucleotides) under uncultured bacterium. RNAcentral's name for it is "partial 16S ribosomal RNA". It matches the Rfam family "Bacterial small subunit ribosomal RNA", at positions 524 to 776 of the family's 1533-position model. The record is from RNAcentral.